CUUUCUAGCAGCAUGAAAAAAGAAACCUGCUCCAAUAGCCUUCUGGAUCUUUGUGAAGUUCCUUCCGGCACUCACAACAUCCAAUUUAUACUUGUCCAUGAUGGAGAGCAACUGUUUUCUGACAUCCUGUGCCCUCCUAAGUGAUCGUGACUGAACAAAAUUUUCAAAACACCAUGGACCUGAAAAGUUUUUCGCUUUCCAAGCCUCGUAAACAGCAAACAAGGUAAGAUGAUCACCCUCAGGCUGAAAAAAUUUGGCCUUUUUCUGAUCGGCCUGAGCUUGUUUUUCCCUUGGUCGGUAAAAGACGUUUCCAGUUUGAAUCAUAGCAAUGAUGGUCAAGAUCUCAUCACUACAACCGAAGUCCACACUAGCAAGAAGCAUCUUGGACAAAGGAGGAUCUAAGGGAAAUUCUGCCAUUUUUCUUCCCAGUUUCGUCAGAAGCCCCUCUUCAUCCAGUGCUCCAAGAGUGUAAAGUUGCUCCAUGGCAGAUAUGAGAGCCUGAGGGGUAGGUGGGUCCAUGAAAUCAAAUGACAAAAGAUCAUUAAUACCCAUUGCUUUCAUCAUAAUAACGGUGUUCCCAAGAUUUAUCCUCUGGAUUUCUGGAACUGCAGUAGGAGACAUUUCACUAUGGAAUGCACUCUCAGUAUACAGACGAUAGCACUUCCCAGGUCCAGUACGUCCAGCACGCCCUGCUCGUUGCUUUGCCGAUGCUUGUGAAAUUGGGGUAAUAACAAGUGAAUCAAGACCCUGUUUUGGAUUGUAGACAUUUUGCUUUGCAAAUCCAGGAUCAAUAACAUAGAAUAUACCGUCAAUUGUCAAAGAUGCUUCAGCAAUAUUUGUAGCAACAACAACUUUUCUCUUCCCAGGAGGGGCAGGAUCAAAAAUUCUGGACUGCAUUUCACUGGGCAAGGCACUAUAGACAGGUAGUAUGAUCAGUUCAGGAACAUUUUUACCUAGUCCUUUCAUCCUCUCAUACAGACACUGGCAAGCAUAAUCAAUCUCCUCUUGACCAGUCAAGAAGAGGAGGAUAUCACCUUCAGGUUCUGUCAAGUG
This 1053-nucleotide unclassified non-coding RNA is filed under the name Hevea brasiliensis (rubber tree). Lineage: Eukaryota; Viridiplantae; Streptophyta; Magnoliopsida; Malpighiales; Euphorbiaceae. The record is from RNAcentral.